GAUGAACGCUGGCGGCGUGCUUAACACAUGCAAGUCGAACGAAGCACUUUACUUGAUUUCUUCAGAAUGAUUGUCCUGUGACUGCGUGGAGGACGGGUGAGUAACGCGUGGGUAACCUACCUCGUACAGGGGGAUAACAGUUGGAAACGACCGCUAAUCCCGCAUAAGCGCACAGAGUUGCAUGACUCAGUGUGAAAAACUCAGGUGGUAUGAGAUGGACCCGCGUCUGAUUAGCUAGUUGGUGGGGCAACGGCCUACCAAGGAGACGAUCAGUAGCCGUAAUGAGAGAGGUAACGGCCACAUUUGUAUUAAGGCACGGCCCAAACUUCUACGGUGGGAAGCAGUUGGUAUUCGUGGACAAUGGGGGAGACCCUGAUGCGUCGGCGCCGCGUGAUUGAAGAGGUAUGUCGGUAUGUAAAGCUCUAGCAGCAGGGACGUUAAUGACAGUACCUGACUAAGAAGCCCCGGCUAACUACGUGCCAGCAGCCGCCGUAA
Molecule: ribosomal RNA, 495 nt
Filed under: uncultured bacterium
Lineage: Bacteria
Description: partial 16S ribosomal RNA
Rfam family: Bacterial small subunit ribosomal RNA
Source: RNAcentral